Molecule: ribosomal RNA, 560 nt
Filed under: Isoperla fulva
Lineage: Eukaryota; Metazoa; Arthropoda; Insecta; Plecoptera; Perlodidae
Description: partial 16S ribosomal RNA
Rfam family: Bacterial large subunit ribosomal RNA
Source: RNAcentral
UCGCCUGUUUAUCAAAAACAUGUCCUCAUGAAAAUAAUUUGAGGUCUGACCUGCCCACUGAAUAAUUUAAUUUAAAGGGCCGCGGUAUUUUGACCGUGCAAAGGUAGCAUAAUCAUUAGUCUUUUAAUUGGAGGCUGGAAUGAAUGGUUGGACGAGGCAUUGACUGUCUCAGUGUAAUUGUUAUUAGAAUUUAACUUUUAGGUCAAAAGGCUUAAAUGAAUUUAAAGGACGAGAAGACCCUAUAGAGCUUUAUAUUAGAUAAUUAUAACUAAUUUAGAUGGCUUUUAGUGGUAGUUAGUAUAAUAUUUUGUUGGGGUGACAGGAAGAUAAAUUAAACUCUUUUUAAUUUUUUACAUUAAUUUAUGAAUAGUUGAUCCAUUAUUAGUGAUUAUAAGACUAAGUUACCUUAGGGAUAACAGCGUAAUCUUUUUUGAGAGUUCUUAUCGACAAAAAGGGUUGCGACCUCGAUGUUGGAUUAAGGGUAAUUUUGGGUGUAGAUGUUCAAAGUUUAGGUCUGUUCGACCUUUAGAUCCUUACAUGAUCUGAGUUCAAACCGGAGA